AACCAACAGAUGUCCGAUAUGCCGGCAGCCCAUUGAGCGCCUUUUGGAGAUCAAGGUGAGCAAUGGGAGUGAUGAAUGAACAAAUCCACCUUUCACUGCUUCAUGAAAAUCUUAUAUCUAUAUAUUAUAUAUAUAUAUACACUAAAUAUUCAGUUUGUUCAGUUGGAUGCCAUCAUGAUUUUAGUCAUUCUCAUUUUGUAAAUUCGAUGCGACUUCUAAAAUAUUUCUUGGAUAAACCUCCAUCUUUUGAUGUGUAACAAAUUCAGCAUGCUCGAUUUCUUGCC
This 284-nucleotide long non-coding RNA is filed under the name Salvia miltiorrhiza (redroot sage). Its description in RNAcentral is "long non-coding RNA (SMIL_LNC006037)". Lineage: Eukaryota; Viridiplantae; Streptophyta; Magnoliopsida; Lamiales; Lamiaceae. The record is from RNAcentral.